Molecule: long non-coding RNA, 371 nt
Organism: Schistocerca americana (American grasshopper)
Lineage: Eukaryota; Metazoa; Arthropoda; Insecta; Orthoptera; Acrididae
Exons: 2
Source: RefSeq, a predicted model, not a curated record
CGCCAUUCCGUCGGCUCAGUUGGCGGCGACGACAACAGAAGGCGACAACAUGAAAGCUAUCGUGUUCGUGUUGGUGGUGCUGGCUGUGGUGUGUGCGGCCUUGGCGAUGCCUGGCCCGAUGCCCUUCCCGCGCCCUUUCCCUAUUCCAGUGGCUGCUGAGCCCAGAGAGACCCUCCGGGGCAGCGAGCAGUACUACUACUACCCCUAUGUCUACGGAUAAACCUGGACCGAAUUGUCACAAGCUGUCAACAACGGAUUUAUGGACUUGGCACUGAAAUGAAAUCAAACACCUCCUGGUCAACAUUUUCUUUCUGUUUGUUAUAUUCUUAAUGUUCUCAGUCACACAAUAAAUUUUCUUCUUCUCUUAUAAA